This is an RNA transcript of Bufo bufo (common toad), 3686 nucleotides long. It is a transcript of the gene named spartin, with no coding region annotated. The record is from RefSeq and is a predicted model, not a curated record. Lineage: Eukaryota; Metazoa; Chordata; Amphibia; Anura; Bufonidae. The transcript has 8 exons.
AUGGAAAAGCAGCCCCUUCCAGAAAUGCAGGAAAACGCCUUGAUUCGAAGUAUUGAGGAAGAAUACAGGAAAGCGUUCGUCUAUAUAAACAAAGGUCUAAACACGGAUGAAACCGGGUACAAGGAAGAAGCCCGCAACUAUUACAAGCAAGGCCAGGAGCAUUUGAUAAGGGGUCUAAGCGUCUCAUUAGAGGGACCUCAGUGCGUUGGUCCAGCUUGGGACGCUGCCAGACAAAUGCAAGUGAAGAUGAGGGAGACGCUGGAGAACGUCAAUACCAGACUAAAUAUCUUACAGCAGAGUAUGGGAGGCUCUGCUAUAAACCCUCCUGCUGUGGGUGCUUCUGCCCCAGUACCAACCGUUUACCCAUCACUGCCACCAAAAGAGAAAGAAAGACCUGAGAGGCCACCACUGCCCUUGUUACCACCAUUCCCUCCACAGCCAGUAAAUGGAGUCUCAUGUAUUGCAACAGACAGUGGAGCAGCACUCAACCCCUUUAUAGCAGGGGUUUCUGCCCCCCCAGCAUACACCCCCCAGGCCACAGAUGGACAUUACACAGUUUCCUAUGGGACAGAGUCUGGAGAACAUUCCAUAGUUGGGGAUGAGUUCUAUGCUAUGCCCACGCAGCCACCGCCAGUGCAGAGUCUGGGGGUAGAUGCAGAGGAACUUAUUCUUAUACCUAGAGGGGUGCAGAUUUUUUAUGUGACCCCAGAUGGACUAGUGAGUGCCCCCUCAUAUCCGGGGUAUCUGCGUAUUAUUAACUUUAUGGACACCAGCAGUGAAAUGGACCAGAGUCGCCCUCCUGCUUUCCUCCAGGUGUGUGACUGGCUAUAUCCCCUCAUGUCUAACCAAUCUCCGGUGCUACGCUCUAAUAAUGGGGUGUACAUGUUCCCAGACCUGAUGUCGCAGGAACCCGGCUCUUACGUGGGGGUGGUGCUUUCCGCUGAGCUUCCAGCCGCUGAUCUGGAGCUCUUUGAAGACCUAAUGAGACAGAUGUCUGACCUGAGAAUUCAGCCUAGUGAAGCAUCAGAUGAAGUCAUAGACCUGACCCAGACAAUUCAUGUCGUUGAAAUACCCGAACCGACACCAAAAGAGAAGGAAGACUAUCCUCCAUGGAGUGAGAAGGUUGCCCAGGGAAUUCUUCAAGGAGCUUCUUGGCUGAGUUGGGGUUUGGUAAAAGGAGCAGAGUUGACUGAAAAAGCCAUUCACAAAGGUGCUACCAAGUUAAGAGAGCACAUACAGCCUGACGAUAAACCACUAGAGGUCAAUCCCACAGUGGCCAAAGGUCUCCAUGUAGCCAAGCAAGCCACUGGAGGAGCAGUAAAAGUCAGUCAGUUCCUAGUGGAUGGGGUCUGUGCUAUAGCAAGUUGUGUUGGGAGAGAGCUGGGGCCACACGUGAAGAAACAUGGCAGCAAACUUAUCCCUGAAUCUCUAAAGAAAGACAAAGAUGGGAAAUCUCCAUUUGAUGGUGCCAUGGUGGUAGCGGCCAGUGGAGUACAAGGAUUCGCAACAGUUUGGCAGGGUUUGGAGUAUGCUGGGAAGAACAUUGCCAAGAGCGUGGCCUCAGAGACGGUUCAUACGGUCAAAUACAAGUAUGGAAAAGAUGCUGGUCACGCCACCGACAAUGCAGUCAAUUCUGCUAUCAAUGUCGGGGUGACUGCAUUUAAUAUUGACCACAUAGGUAUAAAAGCAAUAGUGAAAAAAACUGCAAAAGAAGCCAGUCACUCCAUUCUGGAUGAAUACAGACUGAAAGAGAAAGAGGACAAGAAGGGCGAUCCCCACUGACUGAGUCCUCCAGCGUUCUAUGCUGCCUUAACGUGUGACCCUAAACCUCUCGGUGGUUAAUACCGUAAUAUCUGCUUGGUCUGUAAUAGUUUGCUUCUGUAAGUUAAAGUAAAACAUAAGAGCAAACAACGGGCAUGCUAAAAGAAAAAAAAUUCCAUUGCAAAGAUCUAGACAUUAGCAAUAUACUAAAAUAUCGCCUGUUACAAAAACCCAACAAAUCUCCAGUCCAUAAAACAAAGGAUAAUUAUUUUUUUUUGUUUUUAGAUAUUUUUGACUAAUUAAAGAGGUUGUCCGUGAUUUCCUCAGGAUAGGUCAUCAAUAUCGGAUUAGCGGAUUCAGUCCCAAUCCCUGCACCACCGUGUUUGAAGAGGCUGCGGUGCUCUGGUGAUGUUGCAUUCAUUGCUUACGUGGCCUAGGCACAGCUCAGUCCGGGGGGCUAAGCUGCAAUACCAAGCACAGCCACUAUACGGCGCUGUGCUUGGUAAGCUGUGAAGAGGCCACAGCGAUCACCAGAGCACCACGGCUUCUUUAAACAGCUGAUCAGCGGGCUGCGAGGAGUCAGACCCCCACCGAUCAGAUAUUUAUUGAUCACCUCUACUGAGCAUAGGCCACCAGGAUCAAGAUCUUGGAAAUCCCAUUAGGGUCCAUUCACACGUCCACAAGUGUUUGGCAGGAAUAUUCUACCACGUGCCAUAACCCUGGAGAGCAUGUGGCCUGGACACGGUACAGAUGGGGGGGGGGGGUGUAGUGAUUUGGUGCCAGCUUUACAGGUACUACAGAUCAGGAAAAAGAAAAACUAGUCCAGCAAGAUGGAGAAAAGCAAGUCCGAAAUGUAUUCAGUUCUAAAAAAAAACAAAAAACUGUAGUCCAGGGACAUGUUAUAAAAAGUCAGUACAGUAGAUUGAGUUUCCUUAGCACUCGCAACGCAUAAGCUGCUGAUUGGAUCUUUUACAACAUAUCCUAGAACUACAGUUUUAUUGGAUUUAUCAUGCUCUGCUGUGAACACAAGCCAAGCCACAAGAUGGCCACGGAAUAUUUUCAAGACUCAAAAUGCCAGUGGCACCUCUGCAUAAAUGCUGCCCUCUGCAUUCAGCAAAGCAUGCCGCUCAAGACAAACAGUUCCCCUCCGCUCCUGGACUGGGCACACCCAAGUGGUUCCCCUCCGCUCCUGGACUGGGCACACCCAAGUGGUUCCCCUCCGCUCCUGGACUGGGCACGCCCAGGUGGUUCCCCUCCGCUCCUGGACUGGGCACGCCCAGGUGGUUCCCCUCCGCUCCUGGACUGGGCACGCCCAGGUGGUUCCCCUCCGCUCCUGGACUGGGCACGCCCAGGUGGUUCCCCUCCGCUCCUGGACUGGGCACGCCCAGGUGGUUCCCCUCCGCUCCUGGACUGGGCACGCCCAGGUGGUUCCCCUCCGCUCCUGGACUGGGCACGCCCAGGUUAACAAAUAAAUAUUCUGAGCAAUAAUUAUCCACAUGUUUCAGAUUUAACAUAAAACUAGCCUAAAACUGCCAUGGAUGAACUAGAGCGUGCACCAAACCUUUUGGUGUAAUAGUGACAUAUACAGGUACUGUAUACAUAGAGUGUAGUGAAUUUUGUACUUCGGUGGGGUUUGCCUCAUUAAUACUGAAGCUGCAUUUCCUCCUUCAUAAAUCAAAUAUAAGUAAUACAAUAAAUCCAAAGAUAAAUACGUUUAUAAUAACCAAAGGUCCACGGAAAACUAGAAGCCAGAGUGACGACCAGGAUUUGACUUAUUUGCACUACCACAGGGUAUAUACAGUAAUGUGUAAUAAAGGAUAAACUCUAAUAGAAAAUGGAUAUUUAUAUAUUUUGUUGAGUGAUAGUGUAGAAACAGUAAGAGAUUAUUAAAGGAUUAUGUGCAACUUUAAUUCUUCUCUGGAUUU